UCAAAACUGUACAGUACAUACUCAAGCAUAAACAAGUAUGCAGCUUAUAUUACUGUUAAACAAUUCCCUGCCAGCUUUUUCAGUGCUGCACUUAUUUCUGAGUUAUAACAUGCCUGCUCUGAUCUCUGGGGA
Long non-coding RNA from Etheostoma spectabile (orangethroat darter), 132 nucleotides. RefSeq lists it as uncharacterized. Lineage: Eukaryota; Metazoa; Chordata; Actinopteri; Perciformes; Percidae. The transcript has 3 exons. The record is from RefSeq and is a predicted model, not a curated record.